CCUAGUUUGACAAGUAAGUCCU
This 22-nucleotide unclassified non-coding RNA is filed under the name Dictyostelium discoideum. The record is from RNAcentral. Lineage: Eukaryota; Evosea; Eumycetozoa; Dictyosteliales; Dictyosteliaceae.